ACGAACGCUGGCGGCGUGCCUAAUACAUGCAAGUAGAACGCACAGUUUAUACCGUAGCUUGCUACACCAUAGACUGUGAGUUGCGAACGGGUGAGUAACGCGUAGGUAACCUGCCUGGUAGCGGGGGAUAACUAUUGGAAACGAUAGCUAAUACCGCAUAAUAUUAAUUAUUGCAUGAUAAUUAAUUGAAAGGUGCAAUUGCACCACUACCAGAUGGACCUGCGUUGUAUUAGCUAGUAGGGGAGGUAACGGCUCACCUAGGCGACGAUACAUAGCCGACCUGAGAGGGUGAUCGGCCACACUGGGACUGAGACACGGCCCAGACUCCUACGGGAGGCAGCAGUAGGGAAUCUUCGGCAAUGGACGAAAGUCUGACCGAGCAACGCCGCGUGAGUGAAGAAGGUUUUCGGAUCGUAAAGCUCUGUUGUAAGAGAAGAACGGGUGUGAGAGUGGAAAGUUCACACUGUGACGGUAUCUUACCAGAAAGGGACGGCUAACUACGUG
Molecule: ribosomal RNA, 504 nt
Filed under: uncultured bacterium
Lineage: Bacteria
Description: partial 16S ribosomal RNA
Rfam family: Bacterial small subunit ribosomal RNA
Source: RNAcentral